RNAcentral lists this transfer RNA (93 nucleotides) under Pseudomonadota bacterium. RNAcentral describes it as "tRNA-Ser". It matches the Rfam family "tRNA". From Rfam's summary of the family: Transfer RNA (tRNA) molecules are approximately 80 nucleotides in length. Their secondary structure includes four short double-helical elements and three loops (D, anti-codon, and T loops). Further hydrogen bonds mediate the characteristic L-shaped molecular structure. tRNAs have two regions of fundamental functional importance: the anti-codon, which is responsible for specific mRNA codon recognition, and the 3' end, to which the tRNAs corresponding amino acid is attached (by aminoacyl-tRNA synthetases). tRNAs cope with the degeneracy of the genetic code in two manners: having more than one tRNA (with a specific anti-codon) for a particular amino acid; and 'wobble' base-pairing, i.e. permitting non-standard base-pairing at the 3rd anti-codon position. Lineage: Bacteria; Pseudomonadati; Pseudomonadota. The record is from RNAcentral.
GGAGGGGUGGCCGAGUGGUUGAAGGCGCUCGCCUGGAAAGCGGGUAUAGGGUCAAAAGCUCUAUCGUGGGUUCGAAUCCCAUCCCCUCCGCCA